This 496-nucleotide ribosomal RNA is filed under the name uncultured bacterium. Its description in RNAcentral is "partial 16S ribosomal RNA". It matches the Rfam family "Bacterial small subunit ribosomal RNA", at positions 28 to 507 of the family's 1533-position model. The record is from RNAcentral.
GACGAACGCUGGCGGCGUGCCUAAUACAUGCAAGUAGAACGCUGAAGCGAGGAGCUUACUCUUCUUGAUGAGUUGCGAACGGGUGAGUAACGCGUAGGUAACCUGCCUUGUAGCGGGGGAUAACUAUUGGAAACGAUAGCUAAUACCGCAUAACAAUGGAUGACACAUGUCAUUUAUUUGAAAGGGGCAAUUUCUCCACUACAAGAUGGACCUGCGUUGUAUUGGCUAGUAGGGGAGGUAAUGGCUCACCUAGGCGACGAUACAUAGCCGACCUGAGAGGGUGAACGGCCACACUGGGACUGAGACACGGCCCAGACUCCUACGGGAGGCAGCAGUAGGGAAUCUUCGGCAAUGGGGGCAACACUGACCGAGCAACGCCGCGUGAGGGAAGAAGGAUGUCGGAUCGUAAAGCUCUGUUGUAAGUCAAGAAAGGGUGUGAGAGUGGAAAGUUCACACUGUGACGGUAGCUGACCAGAAAGGGACGGCUAACUACGUG